AGCAGCGUGGCUCAGUGGAAAGAGCACGGGCUUGGGAGUCAGAGGUCAUGGGUUCGAAUCCUGACUCUGCCA
RNAcentral lists this transfer RNA (72 nucleotides) under Ornithorhynchus anatinus (platypus). It matches the Rfam family "tRNA". From Rfam's summary of the family: Transfer RNA (tRNA) molecules are approximately 80 nucleotides in length. Their secondary structure includes four short double-helical elements and three loops (D, anti-codon, and T loops). Lineage: Eukaryota; Metazoa; Chordata; Mammalia; Monotremata; Ornithorhynchidae. The record is from Rfam by way of RNAcentral.